RNAcentral lists this ribosomal RNA (864 nucleotides) under uncultured archaeon. RNAcentral's name for it is "bacterial SSU rRNA". It matches the Rfam family "Archaeal small subunit ribosomal RNA", at positions 39 to 909 of the family's 1478-position model. The record is from RNAcentral.
UGAUACUAAGCCAUGCGAGUCAUUGUAGCAAUACAAGGCAUACGGCUCAGUAACGCGUAGUCAACCUAACCUAUGGACGGGAAUAACCUCGGGAAACUGAGAAUAAUGCCCGAUAGAACAUUAUGCCUGGAAUGGUUUAUGUUCCAAAUGAUUUAUCGCCGUAGGAUGGGACUGCGGCCUAUCAGUUUGUUGGUGAGGUAAUGGCCCACCAAGACUAUUACAGGUACGGGCUCUGAGAGGAGUAGCCCGGAGAUGGGUACUGAGACACGGACCCAGGCCCUAUGGGGCGCAGCAGGCGAGAAAACUUUGCAAUGUGCGAAAGCACGACAAGGUUAAUCCGAGUGGUUUCUGCUAAAGGAACCUUUUGUCAGUCCUAGAAACACUGAUGAAUAAGGGGUGGGCAAGUUCUGGUGUCAGCCGCCGCGGUAAAACCAGCACCUCAAGUGGUCAGGAUGAUUAUUGGGCCUAAAGCAUCCGUAGCCGGCUCUGUAAGUUUUCGGUUAAAUCUGUACGCUCAACGUACAGGCUGCCGGGAAUACUGCAAAGCUAGGGAGUGGGAGAGGUAGACGGUACUCGGUAGGAAGGGGUAAAAUCCUUUGAUCUAUUGAUGACCACCUGUGGCGAAGGCGGUCUACCAGAACACGUCCGACGGUGAGGGAUGAAAGCUGGGGGAGCAAACCGGAUUAGAUACCCGGGUAGUCCCAGCUGUAAACCAUGCAAACUCAGUGAUGCAUUGGCUUGUGGCCAAUGCAGUGCUGCAGGGAAACCGUUAAGUUUGCCGCCUGGGAAGUACGUACGCAAGUAUGAAACUUAAAGGAAUUGGCGGGGGAGCACCACAAGGGGUGAAGCCUGCGGUUCAAUUGG